RNAcentral lists this ribosomal RNA (1349 nucleotides) under metagenome. RNAcentral describes it as "bacterial LSU rRNA". It matches the Rfam family "Bacterial large subunit ribosomal RNA", at positions 1537 to 2911 of the family's 2925-position model. The record is from RNAcentral.
AAAAUGCGCCAAGGAUGCUGAAGCGAGACAGUACGGAGAGGCUUCGGCUGACCCGAUAUGAACCUAAUCAGACUGCCGAGAAAAUCUUCUAAGCAUAUCGUUAUACAACCCGUACCGCAAACCGACACAGGUAGUCAAGGAGAGAAUCCUAAGGCGCUCGAGUGAAUCAUGGCUAAGGAACUCGGCAAAAUAGUCCUGUAACUUCGGGAGAAGGGACGCCCCCGGCAACGGGGGCCGCAGUGAAAAGGUCCAGGCGACUGUUUAACAAAACACAUGUCUUUGCGAAAUCGAAAGAUGAAGUAUAAGGACUGACACCUGCCCGGUGCCGGAAGGUUAAGAGGGGGGGUUAGCAGCAAUGCGAAGCUCUGAAUCGAAGCCCCGGUAAACGGCGGCCGUAACUAUAACGGUCCUAAGGUAGCGAAAUUCCUUGUCGGGUAAGUUCCGACCUGCACGAAUGGUGUAACGAUCUGGGCACUGUCUCAGCCAUGAGCUCGGUGAAAUUGUAGUGCCGGUGAAGAUGCCGGCUACCCGCUACGGGACGAAAAGACCCCGUGCACCUUCACUGCAACUUAGCAUUGAUGACGGAUAAGGGAUGUGUAGGAUAGGUGGGAGGCUAUGAACCGGUAUCGCCAGGUAUCGGGGAGCCAACGUUGAAAUACCACCCUUCCCUUAUUUUUCACCUAACCCUUUACAAAAGGGGGACAUUGCUUGGUGGGUAGUUUGACUGGGGUGGUCGCCUCCAAAAGAGUAUCGGAGGCUCCCAAAGGUGUCCUCAGCACGCUUGGUAACCGUGCAAAGAGUGUAAUAGCAUAAGGACGCUUGACUGUGAGGCCGACAAGCCGAGCAGGAACGAAAGUUGGGUAUAGUGAUCCGGUGGUUCCGCAUGGAAGGGCCAUCGCUCAAAGGAUAAAAGGUACGCCGGGGAUAACAGGCUGAUCUCCCCCAAGAGCUCAUAUCGACGGGGAGGUUUGGCACCUCGAUGUCGGCUCGUCACAUCCUGGGGCUGAAGAAGGUCCCAAGGGUUCGGCUGUUCGCCGAUUAAAGUGGCACGCGAGCUGGGUUCAGAACGUCGCGAGACAGUUCGGUCUCUAUCUGUAGUGGGCGUUAGAUAUUUGAGUGGACCUGACCUUAGUACGAGAGGACCGGGUUGGACGAACCUCUAGUGUACCUGUUGUGGCGCCAGCUGCAUCGCAGGGUAGCUACGUUCGGAAGAGAUAAGCACUGAAAGCAUCUAAGUGCGAAACUCGCCACAAGAUGAGAUAUCUUUUAAGGGUCGUAGAAGACUACUACGUUGAUAGGUUGUAGGUGUAAAGUCAGUAAUGACAAAGCCGAGCAAUGCUAAUUACCCU